RNAcentral lists this long non-coding RNA (3209 nucleotides) under Gallus gallus (chicken). The record is from RNAcentral. Lineage: Eukaryota; Metazoa; Chordata; Aves; Galliformes; Phasianidae.
UGGAGAACAGAGCAAAGGAAAAGCAGAAACAACUCUACUAACACUGAGGCUGGAGGAAAAUGGAGAGGGGAGGAGGAGAGCACUGAAUGCUAAGAGCAGAGGUGGCUUGACAGCCUAUGGAGCCUGUUUUGCCCACAGUGAGAAUGGAGUAGAAAUUUGUUCCAAACACUCAAGAUCUGAUAACUGAUUCCCAUUUAGAUGUCAUUGAGACCUCUGGGAAGUACAGAAUAAUCAGAGCACAGCAGGCACCAGUCAUGAAUCCUCCAUUCUUCACAGCCAGCCUCUGACAUGCUCUGGUGGACAGGGAGAGGACACUGAGUGCAACGGCACAUCACCAAGUCAUCCCUUCUCUGAAAGGGGCCAUGCUUUCAGAGGCUGAAAAAUCAUCCCUGAUGCACCUUGUCUCUGGUAUCUAAAGGAUACAUAGACAUGUCCAGCACAAUCUAAGAACCACAUAUACUGAGUAGCAGAGGAUUCAAUAAAUCUUCCUAUUCUGUGUCCAGUUGCCUCUUAUUAAGGCUCCAAUGGGCAUAUGUGCCGGGAAGCUCAUGAAUAAGCAAAGUCCUCCAAAAAUGGUUUUACCAUGUCUGAGCAGAAGAAAAGAAACGCCUCCUUGACCUGAUCUGACACCCCUGCCGAUGCAGCAAGCAGUUGUCUUCUCUGCUGCCAGGACACACUGCUGACUCUAAUCUACUAAGACUCCAGUAUUGACCAGACUUCUGGAGCCAUUCUCAUUUUGAUGUUUAAUAUUCAGUUUCUUUUUCCUGCACCAGCUGGAUGAUUUGGAAAAGCCUGCAGAGCUGUCAUCUCUCCUGUAUUUUAUUUCAAUGCAGAACAAUUCACUCCUGAGUCUUUCAACCAAAUAUGCCAAGCAGCAUACAAAAGCCAAAUGAAACUCAUGUUUCUAAUAGUUAUCACUGUAUCCUGGGACAUUGAGAGAUAACACUAGAAAAUCAUUCAUGAGCAACAGAGAGAAUAAAACAUAUUGCUACUGAUGGUAGAAUAGACAAAGAGAUAAUUGUAGCAUGGGAUGUACGUACAUUGUACAUGGUUUGUACUUUAAAUCUCAAAAUCUGAAGAAAACAAACAAAGGUUAUUGCUCCACCACCUUUGCUUAUUAUUGUAAUUGUCUAUAUUGUAUUCCCUCUAUCUACCCUUUUGAAUACCUUCAUGACAAUUUGACAGGUGCUCUUGGCACAUCUUUAAUGACAUAGAAAUACAUGCAAAUUCACAGGGGUGUAGCCAUAUAGUGUUUCAAUGAUGCAGAACUGGAAGAACUGACCUCCAAAGAAAGAUGAAGUUUUCAGGAGCCACUGCAGCAGCACUCCACCUGUGAUCUCCGUCACCAGAGACUGGUUUGUCCACAAAGUACCACUGCUGCAGGAUGAAAGCAAGAAAAAUCUCUGCAUUUGUGCAAAAGCUGUGUUUGUGGAAAAAGAAAGGAAAGGGAAAAGGAAAGAGGAAAAAGGUUAGCUCCAAUGACAAGCAGGGAAGCAGAUUCUGCUUUCCCUUAGUACGUUGUGGUAGCCUGAUACUAACCUUCACAGGUAGGAGACAAGACAGGGCUAAAGACCUGGAGGAGAAAGUUAGUACAGGUAAUUCAUGCCUCUUGGUAGCAGUUUUCUUGCAAUGCUUUGACUAGAGUUCACCACCAAAACCUCUAUUUUUAGUUACACAUUCUGCAGUCAAUUUCUUUGUACAAUAACUGAAAAUAAAGAAAUUGCAUGGACACCACAGGAAAAUGAAGACACAAAGGCAAACAAAGAAUUAUCUGCCUGAGGGAAGGAGAAGUAUUCUAAAGUUCAAAAUGUGUUACAACGUUAAUCAUCUGAUCAAUACCAGUAAUCUCAGUGCAGAAAAAUACAUGGGAUUUGGUUUUUAAGUAGGUACAUGCAUUUUGGGGAAGUUCAUCUUCCCUAUAUUUUGUCUGUGAAGGAUGAGUUCAUCCUCCUAUACACCAGUAAGUACCAAAAUGAUAGUGAGACUUUCUACAUGAGAAAAAAGAAUUUCCCAUAGGCAGAAAGGAUGAGGAAUUCCAAACUUUUUAUUAUACCACCCAUUUCAGAAGUGCAUACCAAAGUAAAAACAUAGCAAAAAAAUGCGUAUGAGUUUGUGGUAACACACUAUUUGUACAGCAGCCCUCAGGCACAGCUGUAACUCAUGUAGAUUCCUAAGGACUUUUGAUUUAAAUUCUGUGUUUUUCUAAAAGUGCUCUGUUGAGACAACAAAAUGACUGUAAGCCAAAACCCACACUUUCGUUUCUAUCUACCCUCAGCUGCUAUUAUGCUGCAUUUAGAAAUACACAGGUAGGACAAUUACAGUACUUUGUUGCUAUAUUACUCUGAAAUUAAAUUUGAAAAUGAUGUUUCUUUAAAACUACAGAAAGACAUAAAUAUACCUUAACUUUUUUCUUUUUCUUUUUUUUUUUUUUUCCCAAGUUACACCUAAUAAACAUUGGCAGCAUGAAAACAACAGCUUUGAGCAAUUAGGGGACCCAGAUACAAGGGUUAAAUUUUCUUAAAUAAAACACUGAAUUAUCUCUUUUUAAGACAUAAGAAGAACCAUGUUCUUCAUAUUGUCUUAAUGUGCAAAUAAACUGCAUUUUCUGCAGUCAUGGUACUGAACACUGGUGAAGUUAGUUUAAUAAUGCCCAUGGUUUGUAGCUAAGAAAAAUGUUGUAGGCGAUGUUACAAACACAUAUAUACUUAUAGUAACACGUAAAAUGCAAUUGCUGUCAUGGCCCAGCAUGUUGGCUAAUAAAAGCAGUUUGAUUCCUGGGUGUUCAAAAUGAAUUUAUCUUUUGGAUUUGGAGUUCUACCUGAUCACUUUUUAAAAAUGGUCUAAAAAUUUAAAACAUAUUCUUGGUAUAAUUUUAGAGGGCAAGGCUAAACAUACCAAUAAAAGUAUCUUUGUUAAGGAACUGUCAGUCCAUUUUUCUUCUUGCUAAGCUAUGGACUACACAAUAUCCCAUUUUAAGAUAAACUGUUAUGCCCAUUUCAUUUAAUACUAAGGGGAAGAUAAGCAUUUAAUGUUUAAGCAGUAAUUGAGACAAACAAGUAGAAGUGUUGAAAGACAGCCCACCCAGGGAACAAGAAUUCAUUUUGCGUUUCAUCUUGUGCCUCGAACAAGCACCACUGCCUCUUGCUCCUACCACUUUGGGGACCAGAGAGCAGUGUUCUGUGUGGCUGCUUCAGGGAUUUAUGUUCCUC